Long non-coding RNA from Oreochromis aureus, 262 nucleotides. RefSeq lists it as uncharacterized. The record is from RefSeq and is a predicted model, not a curated record. NCBI's taxonomy places the organism in Eukaryota, Metazoa, Chordata, Actinopteri, Cichliformes, Cichlidae. The transcript has 3 exons.
AAAGGAGAGACCCAAGCGCCGCCGGUCGCGUGUCAGGUGAACUGAACUUCAGCAGGCUGGAAACUGGAUUCAUUAUCAGAGGAGUUAAGGAGCCACUGCGGGGAAACUAUCUCUACGACCCGGAUAGCUUGGUUCAUUCAGCAGUGUCACCUGCAAUCCUUGCUACAGUUCUCCUCCGUGAUCCCGUCCUCGUCUUCACCCCAGAUGUCCACAGCAGAGAAAAUCAAGGCCACCAAUACAGCAAAGCAGCACACCAAGGCAA